AGCGAACGCUGGCGGCAGGCUUAACACAUGCAAGUCGAGCGGGCAUCCUUGUGGUGUCAGCGGCAGACGGGUGAGUAACGCGUGGGAACGUGCCCUUCGGUUCGGAAUAGCUCAGGGAAACUUGAGCUAAUACCGGAUACGUGCGAGAGCAGAAAGGUUUAUCUGCCGAAGGAUCGGCCCGCGUCUGAUUAGCUAGUUGGUGAGGUUAUGGCUCACCAAGGCGACGAUCAGUAGCUGGUCUGAGAGGAUGAUCAGCCACACUGGGACUGAGACACGGCCCAGACUCCUACGGGAGGCAGCAGUGGGGAAUAUUGGACAAUGGGGGCAACCCUGAUCCAGCCAUGCCGCGUGAGUGAUGACGGCCUUAGGGUUGUAAAGCUCUUUUCUGCGGGACGAUAAUGACGGUACCGGAGGAAUAAGCCCCGGCUAACUUCGUG
This 437-nucleotide ribosomal RNA is filed under the name uncultured bacterium. RNAcentral's name for it is "partial 16S ribosomal RNA". It matches the Rfam family "Bacterial small subunit ribosomal RNA", at positions 29 to 507 of the family's 1533-position model. The record is from RNAcentral.